CCGAAAUCUCCAGUCGUGCUUUAUGUUGACCUGGAUGUAAAUAAAGCCCAAACCAUAGAGUUAACAAAUCCCGUUCAUUUCUUGUGUUCUCUACCUCUCUAACUCUACCGGCAAAGUCUCUUAGCGGGGAUACCAAGAAUUCGCAGCUUACAAAGAUGGCUUCUUGUUUCCGAUCCAAAUUGUCAACUGUGGGACGUUCGUAGUUGGGGAGUCUUGGCAACAACUCUGGUUUAUUCAGAACAUCAAAUGAGAUGAUGGAAAUGAUGACUUGCAAACAUGUUUUAACUCAGGAAAUCUUUCCACAAACAUAAACUUGUGAUCCUGUUGUACAUAUCCAACGUAUGUAAUUACAGGCACAUGUUUGGUUAAACUCUUACUUAUCCUAGUAAGUAAGAGCAAAAGGGUGGACUAGAUUAAUUGUACAAAAGGGUGAGCAAAAGGGAAUAUAUCAGCAAGUUAAGGUAACCAAUAUUGCGAGUAUUCUUUAAAACUGAUCGACACUCAGAAGAUGGAUGUCGGAAAUCUUUUCUAGAGUUAAAAUCGUGGUGGAAAGAACAAAAACAAACGGGCACAAACAUCUCUAAGGAGAAAGAGGCCGAGGUAUUUUUGGCCAAUAAACAUUUUUGGAAAAAUCGGCUCGAAAAGUUGUGCGGGGCACCCCCGGAGGACAUUUGCUAUUCGGACUCUCACCAUGGAUAAGGGGCAACCUAUUACUAAGGGGGAUCCCUGCAGGGCAUCUACUAUUCGCACCCCACUCUGGAUAGGGGGAGACCACUUUCUUCUCUAAAUUCAAAAGAAAAAAUUGGCGGGAAAAACCACUUUGCAUACCAGAGUUAGGGUUGGAUUUCUAGGCUGUUUUAGGGAGAAUCAAUCGCGGGAAUUUGUUGGGCUGGACGUGAUUUAGCAUAACAGGCUUGGUAUGAGCGCUGGAAUGGAUUGAAUUGGGCUAGCACUCGAGUUGGAGCAAAACAGAGGUGAAGUUACACACGGGUCUCUGCUGGCCUGAUUUUUGAAGUUUCAGGGAGAUUAAACCGGAGAUAAUAUUUCCGGAGAUAGCUACUUACCUUAUAGAGAGUUUGGGAUGAUUUGGAAAGCUCAGAAAUGCGUAAACAAGUCGGCAGAGAAGAUUAUUUCUGUGACUUGCACGAAAAGAAAGAGAGAAUUUUUAUCGGAAUUUUUAGGUUUCUGAGCAGUAUAAAAGGA
Molecule: long non-coding RNA, 1203 nt
Organism: Papaver somniferum (opium poppy)
Lineage: Eukaryota; Viridiplantae; Streptophyta; Magnoliopsida; Ranunculales; Papaveraceae
Exons: 5
Source: RefSeq, a predicted model, not a curated record